This 492-nucleotide ribosomal RNA is filed under the name uncultured bacterium. RNAcentral's name for it is "partial 16S ribosomal RNA". It matches the Rfam family "Bacterial small subunit ribosomal RNA", at positions 29 to 507 of the family's 1533-position model. The record is from RNAcentral.
AGUGAACGCUGGCGGUAGGCCUAACACAUGCAAGUCGAACGGCAGCACAGUAAGAGCUUGCUCUUACGGGUGGCGAGUGGCGGACGGGUGAGGAAUACAUCGGAAUCUACUUUUUCGUGGGAGAUAACGUAGGGAAACUUACGCUAAUACCGCAUACGACCUACGGGUGAAAGCAGGGGAUCUUCGGACCUUGCGCGAUUGAAUGAGCCGAUGUCGGAUUAGCUAGUUGGCGGGGUAAAGGCCCACCAAGGCGACGAUCCGUAGCUGGUCUGAGAGGAUGAUCAGCCACACUGGAACUGAGACACGGUCCAGACUCCUACGGGAGGCAGCAGUGGGGAAUAUUGGACAAUGGGCGCAAGCCUGAUCCAGCCAUACCGCGUGGGUGAAGAAGGCCUUCGGGUUGUAAAGCCCUCUUGUUGGGAAAGAAAAGCAGCAGGUUAAUACCCCGCUGUUCUGACGGUACCCAAAGAAUAAGCACCGGCUAACUUCGUG